Molecule: ribosomal RNA, 497 nt
Filed under: uncultured bacterium
Lineage: Bacteria
Description: partial 16S ribosomal RNA
Rfam family: Bacterial small subunit ribosomal RNA
Source: RNAcentral
GAUGAACGCUGGCGGCGUGCCUAAUACAUGCAAGUCGAGCGAACAGACGAGGAGCUUGCUCCUUCGACGUUAGCGGCGGACGGGUGAGUAACACGUAGGUAACCUACCUAUAAGACUGGGAUAACUUCGGGAAACCGGAGCUAAUACCGGAUAAUAUUUCGAACCGCAUGGUUCGAUAGUGAAAGAUGGCUUUGCUAUCACUUAUAGAUGGACCUGCGCCGUAUUAGCUAGUUGGCAAGGUAACGGCUUACCAAGGCAACGAUACGUAGCCGACCUGAGAGGGUGAUCGGCCACACUGGAACUGGGACACGGUCCAGACUCCUACGGGAGGCAGCAGUAGGGAAUCUGCCGCAAUGGGCGAAAGCCUGACGGAGCAACGCCGCGUGAGUGAUGAAGGUCUUCGGAUCGUAAAACUCUGUUAUUAGGGAAGAACAAACGUGUAAGUAACUGUGCACGUCUUGACGGUACCUAAUCAGAAAGCCACGGCUAACUACGUG